This 505-nucleotide ribosomal RNA is filed under the name uncultured bacterium. Its description in RNAcentral is "partial 16S ribosomal RNA". It matches the Rfam family "Bacterial small subunit ribosomal RNA", at positions 30 to 523 of the family's 1533-position model. The record is from RNAcentral.
AUUGAACGCUUGCGGCAGGCCUGACACAUGCAAGUCGAACGGUAACAGGAAGAAGCUUGCUUCUUUGCUGACGAGUGGCGGACGGGUGAGUAAUGUCUGGGAAACUGCCUGAUGGAGGGGAUAACUACUGGAAACGGUAGCUAAUACCGCAUAACGUCGCAAGACCAAAGAGGGGGACCUUCGGGCCUCUUGCCAUCGGAUGUGCCCAGAUGGGAUUAGCUAGUUGGUGGGGUAACGGCUCACCAAGGCGACGAUCCCUAGUUGGUCUGAGAGGAUGACCAGCCAAACUGGAACUGAGACACGGUCCAGACUCCUACGGGAGGCAGCAGUGGGGAAUAUUGCACAAUGGGCGCAAGCCUGAUGCAGCCAUGCCGCGUGUAUGAAGAAGGCCUUCGGGUUGUAAAGUACUUUCAGCGGGGAGGAAGGGAGUAAAGUUAAUACCUUUGCUCAUUGACGUUACCCGCAGAAGAAGCACCGGCUAACUCCGUGCCAGCCGCCGCGGUAA